This 495-nucleotide ribosomal RNA is filed under the name uncultured bacterium. RNAcentral's name for it is "partial 16S ribosomal RNA". It matches the Rfam family "Bacterial small subunit ribosomal RNA", at positions 28 to 507 of the family's 1533-position model. The record is from RNAcentral.
GAUGAACGCUGGCGGCGUGCCUAAUACAUGCAAGUAGAACGCUGAAGGAGGAUCUUGCUCUUCUGGAGGAGUUGCGAACGGGUGAGUAACGCGUAGGUAACCUGCCUGGUAGCGGGGGAUAACUAUUGUAAACGAUAGCUAAUACCGCAUGACAACAGUUAUUGCAUGAUAACUAUUUAAAAGGGGUACCUUCUCAACAACCAAAGGUACUUCCGUUGUAUUAGCUAGUUGGUGAGGUAACGGCUCACCAAGGCGACGAUACAUAGCCGACCUGAGAGGGUGAUCGGCCACACUGGGACUGAGACACGGCCCAGACUCCUACGGGAGGCAGCAGUAGGGAAUCUUCGGCAAUGGACGGAAGUCUGACCGAGCAACGCCGCGUGAGUGAAGAAGGUUUUCGGAUCGUAAAGCUCUGUUGUAAGAGAAGAACGAGGGUGAGAGUGGAAAGUUCACACUGUGACGGUAUCUUACCAGAAAGAGACGGCUAACUACGUG